GGUGAUGUAGAUACAGGACAACAAGCUGGAGGUGGUCGGGGAGACAGGGUGUUGUAGAUACAGGACAACAAGCUGAAGGUGGUCGGGGAGACAGGGUGAUGUAGAUACAGGACAACAAGCUGAAGGUGGUCAGGGAGACAGGGUGAUGUAGAUACAGGACAACAAGCUGAAGGUGGACAGGGUGUUGUAGAUACAGGACAACAAGCUGAAGGCGGUCGGGGAGACAGGGGCAAGACAGGGUGUUGUAGAUACAGGACAACAAGCUGAAGGUGGUCGGGGAGACAGGGUGAUGUAGAUACAGGACAACAAGCUGAAGGUGGUCGGGGAGACAGGGUGUUGUAGAUACAGGACAACAAGCUGAAGGUGGUCGGGGAGACAGGGUGUUGUAGAUACAGGACAACAAGCUGAAGGUGGUCGGGGAGACAGGGUGUUGUAGAUACAGGACAACAAGCUGAAGGUGGUCUGGGAGACAGGGUGAUGUAGAUACAGGACAACAAGCUGAAGGUGGUCAGGGAGACAGGGUGAUGUAGAUACAGGACAACAAGCUGAAGGUUGUCGGGGAGACAGGGUGAUGUAGAUACAGGACAACAAGCUGAAGGUGGUCGGGGAGACAGGGUGAUGUAGAUACAGGACAACAAGCUGAAGGUGGUCAGGGAGACAGGGUGAUGUAGAUACAGGACAACAAGCUGAAGGUGGUCAGGGAGACAGGGUGAUGUAGAUACAGGACAACAAGCUGAAGGUGGUCAGGGAGACAGGGUGAUGUAGAUACAGGACAACAAGCUGAAGGUGGUCAGGGAGACAGGGUGAUGUAGAUACAGGACAACAAGCUGAAGGUGGUCGGGGAGACAGGACAACAAGCUGAAGGUGGUCAGGGAGACAGGGUGAUGUAGAUACAGGACAACAAGCUGAAGGUGGUCAGGGAGACAGGGUGAUGUAGAUACAGGACAACAAGCUGAAGGUGGUCAGGGAGACAGGGUGAUGUAGAUACAGGACAACAAGCUGAAGGUGGUCGGGGAGACAGGGUGUUGUAGAUACAGGACAACAAGCUGAAGGUGGUCAGGGAGACAGGGUGAUGUAGAUACAGGACAACAAGCUGAAGGUGGUCGGGGAGACAGGGUGUUGUAGAUACAGGACAACAAGCUGAAGGUGGUCAGGGAGACAGGGUGAUGUAGAUACAGGACAACAAGCUGGAGGUGGUCAGGGAGACAGGGUGUUGUAGAUACAGGACAACAAGCUGGAGGUGGUCGGGGAGACAGGGUGUUGUAGAUACAGGACAAAAAGCUGGAGGUGGUCAGGGAGACAGGACAACAAGCUGAAGGUGGUCGGGGAGACAGGGUGUUGUAGAUACAGGACAACAAGCUGGAGGUGGUCAGGGAGACAGGGUGUUGUAGAUACAGGACAACAAGCUGAAGGUGGUCGGGGAGACAGGGUGUUGUAGAUACAGGACAACAAGCUGAAGGUGGUCAGGGAGACAGGGUGAUGUAGAUACAGGACAACAAGCUGAAGGUGGUCGGGGAGACAGGGUGUUGUAGAUACAGGACAACAAGCUGAAGGUGGUCAGGGAGACAGGGUGAUGUAGAUACAGGACAACAAGCUGAAGGUGGUCGGGGAGACAGGGUGUUGUAGAUACAGGACAACAAGCUGAAGGUGGUCAGGGAGACAGGGUGAUGUAGAUACAGGACAACAAGCUGAAGGUGGUCGGGGAGACAGGGUGUUGUAGAUACAGGACAACAAGCUGAAGGUGGUCAGGGAGACAGGGUGAUGUAGAUACAGGACAACAAGCUGAAGGUGGUCAGGGAGACAGGGUGAUGUAGAUACAGGACAACAAGCUGAAGGUGGUCGGGGAGACAGGGUGUUGUAGAUACAGGACAACAAGCUGAAGGUGGUCGGGGAGACAGGGUGUUGUAGAUACAGGACAACAAGCUGAAGGUGGUCGGGGAGACAGGGUGUUGUAGAUACAGGACAACAAGCUGAAGGUGGUCAGGGAGACAGGACAACAAGCUGAAGGUGGUCGGGGAGAUGGGUCAAUGGUUAAUGCAUGCUGAUUAUGUGUCUUUUUGCUUUAUUUCAUGAGCUCAGGGUUGCAUGCUUUAUUGUAUGAGAUAUUUAGUGUGGGAUAUAGUGAUAUUUGUUCUGGGCUAUAGUGACCUAUCUAUUAUGAGAAGGGUGCUGUUUCUGCCCGAUGUAUGUCUGUGCCAUGUCAGAUCAGGCCUGGGAACUAUGUGAGUGAGGGAAGAUGGGAUUGUAUUCUGUUAUUAUUUAUUGUGUGUAUUAUGAUUUUCAAAGGUGGUAUAUACAUUAUUUUCCUACAUUGGCGCCAGUCGUCCUCUUGUGGUAAUGACUUUUGUUUGGCUAUGAAAGUGUCUAGUCCUUAUGACCAUGUCUGUAAUUAUGCUGUUAGAAGACAAAAUAACAUCAUCACAACCAGAGAAACAGUGUAUACAGAGCCUCAGAUAAGCUGCGUAUCUGCGUAAAAUACACAUCAGAAAUGCAGAAAUACGCAGUGAAAUAAAAUCCAAGCGUAUCAAUUACGCAAUGAACAUUAUAGAUACGCUACAAAAAUAAAACUGAUAU
Molecule: long non-coding RNA, 2574 nt
Filed under: Haliotis rufescens (red abalone)
Lineage: Eukaryota; Metazoa; Mollusca; Gastropoda; Lepetellida; Haliotidae
Description: uncharacterized LOC125381499
Source: RNAcentral